Molecule: small nuclear RNA, 107 nt
Filed under: Castor canadensis (American beaver)
Lineage: Eukaryota; Metazoa; Chordata; Mammalia; Rodentia; Castoridae
Source: RNAcentral
GUACUUGCUUUGGCAGCACAUAUACUAAAAUUAGAACAAUACAGAGAAGAUUAGCAUGGUCCCUGCUCAAGAAUGACAUGAAAAUUUGUGAAGUGUUCCAUGUUUUU